This is a long non-coding RNA of Fundulus heteroclitus (mummichog), 696 nucleotides long. RefSeq lists it as uncharacterized. The record is from RefSeq and is a predicted model, not a curated record. The transcript has 2 exons. Lineage: Eukaryota; Metazoa; Chordata; Actinopteri; Cyprinodontiformes; Fundulidae.
AGAAUAAAUAAAUAAAUAAUAGAUUAGUAAAUAUUGGGUUAAAAAUAUAGAGUUCAUAAAUACAUACAUUUCUAGCAAAAAUAGUUUAAUAUGAAAGUUUUAAUUUCCGGUAUUUCAUGUAUAUUAUUUGUUGUGAUAUGGGGGAACCAAAGUUUGCUGCUGCGUGUUGACGGGGUGUUAACUUUUGAGUGUUGCUACCUGUUUAUUAAGAACAUUCUGGAUCGAGCUACAAGGCAGACACCUCGUUGAUUCCUCUGGCUGGACUUCAAUAAUAAUUAAAGAAGACUGAAUAACAUGCAAAGUGCAUUGAAGGACAGAAGAUUUUAAUUUUCUCUCAAGCAAAGCGGCCAAUGAGUUCUCACGGCACACUAUCAUGCUCCGUGUGAUUAAAGCCCGUAACUUUCAAGAACGACUUGGUUUCGUGAUUUGGACUUGAGGGGGAAUUACAGUGAGAACUCAGCCACCGCGACGCGAGGGGAGAGCGUGACCAGCAGCAGCAAGGAGCCAGUGCGCGCGCCCGUCUCUCGUCGUCGGAGCUGUGAAGAUGUUCGAGGUUUGGGAGGAGCCACUCGUCAAAGGACAGUAUGCAACCUGCCAGUAACCUAAGACAGUUGUGUGGUUAUGCCAACGUGAAGCACGUUUGAGCCAAGUUAAAUGUGAAGACGUAGAGUAGCCUUUACAACUGCUAAAGAAGAA